This 287-nucleotide long non-coding RNA is filed under the name Elaeis guineensis (African oil palm). RNAcentral describes it as "long non-coding RNA (EGUI_LNC020820)". Lineage: Eukaryota; Viridiplantae; Streptophyta; Magnoliopsida; Arecales; Arecaceae. The record is from RNAcentral.
GGUAUGGCCCUCACUUUAGUAUUCAGGAGGUUUAGAAUCAGCUUUGAGGGGGAGGUAGUAGCUAGGCUUUCUCACUCUGACACCAUCAACCGUCAUACUUUGCACCGCAUGGGAUUUACUAAGACAGAUGGUGGUUGGACUAAAGGUGUGGAAGAGAGAGCUAAGGAAGAAGGACCACCCUCACCCCUCCGUGAUCUCAGGGCAGCAUCUCCAGACAUUCAAUUCAUUUCGAAUCACGAGGCUGGCCUAUCAGAGUCUACGAGGAGGCAUACUCCAGUCCAGCAGCC